AGGCUUUCUGUUUGUAUUAUGU
Molecule: microRNA, 22 nt
Filed under: Salmo salar (Atlantic salmon)
Lineage: Eukaryota; Metazoa; Chordata; Actinopteri; Salmoniformes; Salmonidae
Description: ssa-miR-736-5p
Gene: ssa-miR-736-5p
Source: miRBase by way of RNAcentral